This 542-nucleotide long non-coding RNA is filed under the name Rattus norvegicus (Norway rat). RNAcentral's name for it is "long non-coding RNA NONRATT000723". Lineage: Eukaryota; Metazoa; Chordata; Mammalia; Rodentia; Muridae. The record is from RNAcentral.
GUGUGAGAUUCUGUGUGGGUGUGUGAGAGACUCCUGGUGUGUAAAGAUAAAAAUAUGUCAGUGAAUGUGACUCUGGGAGCACAUGUGUGUGUUCCUAUGUGUUGUGUGUGUGUGUGUGUGUGUGUGUGUGUGUGUGUGUGACUAUAAGAGAGAUCCUUGUGUCAAAGAAACUAGAUGUAAGGUUGUAUGUGGGUUGAUAAAUAUAAAUGGGGUGUGUGUGUGUGUGUGUGUGUGUGUGUGAGAGAGAGAGAGAGAGAGAGACAGAGACAGAGACAGAGAGACAGAGACAGAGACAGAGACACAGAGAGAGACUGUGCAUGCUUUAGAAAUGCUGUGUGUGAGACCCCAGGUCAAUGUAUCUCUGAGAUGUGUGUGUGUGUGUGUGUGCGUGUGUGUGCAGGUGUGGACGUGUGUGUGUGUGUGUAAAGCUGUGUAUAUGUGUAAACUAUGUUCUCGACACCACCUAUGUACAUGCAAGGUGUUCUGUGUGAUAGCUAUAUGUGGCUAUGUGUUAAGAGACUAUGAGGUCCCAGGUGUGACAA